RNAcentral lists this ribosomal RNA (527 nucleotides) under uncultured bacterium. RNAcentral's name for it is "bacterial SSU rRNA". It matches the Rfam family "Bacterial small subunit ribosomal RNA", at positions 778 to 1301 of the family's 1533-position model. The record is from RNAcentral.
AUAGAUACCGGUAGUCCACGCCGUAAACGAUGAGUGCUAAGUGUUAGAGGGUUUCCGCCCUUUAGUGCUGCAGCGUAACGCAUUAUGCACUCCGCCUGGGGAGUACGGUCGCAAGACUGAAACUCAAAGGAAUUGACGGGGGCCCGCACAAGCGGUGGAGCAUGUGGUUUAAUUCGAAGCAACGCGAAGAACCUUACCAAGUCUUGACAUCCUCUGACAACUCUAGAGAUAGAGCGUUCCCCCUUCGGGGGACAGAGUGACAGGUGGUGCAUGGUUGUCGUCAGCUCGUGUCGUGAGAUGUUGGGUUAAGUCCCGCAACGAGCGCAACCCUUGAUCUUAGUUGCCAGCAUUUAGUUGGGCACUCUAAGGUGACUGCCGGUGACAAACCGGAGGAAGGUGGGGAUGACGUCAAAUCAUCAUGCCCCCUUAUGACCUGGGCUACACACGUGCUACAAUGGAUGGUACAAAGGGCUGCAAGACCGCGAGGUCAAGCCAAUCCCAUAAAACCCAUUCUCAGUUCGGAUUGU